This 1740-nucleotide long non-coding RNA is filed under the name Nasonia vitripennis (jewel wasp). RNAcentral describes it as "uncharacterized LOC103315487". The record is from RNAcentral. Lineage: Eukaryota; Metazoa; Arthropoda; Insecta; Hymenoptera; Pteromalidae.
AUAAAAUUUUGACGUAUCCAACUUUUAUUAGGCAUCAAUUCGCAUUUUAAAUACUUAUGAGACAUGAUAAAAACAAUGUAAAAUGAUGUGUAUCGUAACCUAUAUAUUAAUGAAUUGUAAAAUAACAUCUCGAGCAACAUCGUCAAACGGGAUCGGGCAAUAGCUGCACGGAAAGAAGUACGCACGCUGAGAGACGGCGCGACUGAGCAUCUUGAUUUUGAUACUCUUAAACACGGUGUAUUGGGAUGCACUGAUAUUCAGCAUGCUUGCACGAGAAAAAACGAUGCGCAAGAGUCGGUAGGGCACGCGUCGCCGCUCGCGCAGUUGCACCGUCCCUCAGCAUGCCUCACACUACUUCUUUCCGUGUGACAGUUCUACGCAUUGAUAUAGGUGGUUCGACAUCGCUACCGCGCAUGCGCGUCGUCGCUGCGACAUGUCGCGUCGGUCGGGCCCGCCCGCCGCCGCUGACCGGACGAGCGAGUUCGACAGCAGCGUUUUAAAGUAGUGCAUGUUUGGCUUUGUUCGUAACGGAUUUUUGGUUUUGUUCUACAUUCAAUGAUGUCAUUACGGUAGAGGUUAGGAUACCCAUUCGCCAGCAGUACGCCCCUGACCUUCCGUCAGACGAAAAUAUUAAGAGUCAAGAAGAAAGACGUCUUAAAUUGAUAGAUCUUUUUGAAAGACUUGAUCACGGCCAACCUGAAGUUUUGGAGUUAAUGGACAAGACUUAUGCAAUGCAGCGCAAAAGCAUUAAUGACGUAACAGGUGAAAUUAGUUUACUUAUGACUGAGUGGCCUUUUCUAACGGACGACAAAUGUUUAAUACAACAUGCUGAUAAAUUGAUGGGAAAAUGUAUUCUCACGACAUGGAAAAACUCGCUUGAAAAAAAAAGUGAAACCGAUAAGACAGUAUCUGAAGACUUGCCAUACUUUGAAAAGAAAUAAAAGUCAAGAACUAAAAGAUAUAAUUCAAGACUGCAAAGAAGCAACUGAAACAAGAAAAGAUAAUUAUCCUAUAAAUGCUAUUAUUUUUCCGCUUCUAGUAUUAUACUUUGAAGAAAAUAUAGAACUGCUAUACAAAAUCGUUGAUAGCGCACUUAAUGAGGAUGCUAUUCUGGAAACCUGCGCGAAUAAUAAUCAUCCUGUAUUGAUUGAUUAUUAGAGGUAAAACAUUGUACGAUUCAGAAAGCACCUGCAAUAUCAUUCUUGAAGGAAAAACUGUAAUCUACUGUUCAGAUUUCUCGGAUGGAAUUUUAUUAACAUUCUUCAGUUAUUAUAUUUUUUGGUUAUAAGUAUCCAGCAGGCUUGGAAAAAACUCUAGAAUACAUUCAAAGGAUUUUAUUGCAAAUUAACCCUCCAAUAGGAACGAAGACUGCUCCAGGAAAGAAAAUACGCACAAAAUCCUACAACAGUGCCGUGUUUAGUCUAGCUAAAGCUUUGUCUAACUUUUCGGAUUCUUUUAAAACAACCUAAUACGCCAGAUAAUUAGUGAGAUUUUAAUUUAAGCAUGCGAGAGAAUGUAUAAAAAUAUUCGAACUACCGUUAAUAAUCAGCAAGUAUUUUGACUUUUUUUGAGAUCGUUGCUAUUUAAUUGCAAGUAACUGUGUAAAGCUGUUUAUUUAAUAUUUAUUUAUUGAACUAUGUAUUCUUUUUCUGCAAUACAUAAAUAUUACUCUUAUAAAAAUAGUGUUUAUUAAACACGUUUCCAACAGAAAUUAAAACAACAAUAUCAUUAUUAAGCGCA